Molecule: ribosomal RNA, 557 nt
Filed under: uncultured bacterium
Lineage: Bacteria
Description: partial 16S ribosomal RNA
Rfam family: Bacterial small subunit ribosomal RNA
Source: RNAcentral
UGGGGAAUUUUGGACAAUGGGGGAAACCCUGAUCCAGCCAUCCCGCGUGUGCGAUGAAGGCCUUCGGGUUGUAAAGCACUUUUGGCAGGAAAGAAACGUCGCGGGUUAAUACCCCGCGAAACUGACGGUACCUGCAGAAUAAGCACCGGCUAACUACGUGCCAGCAGCCGCGGUAAUACGUAGGGUGCAAGCGUUAAUCGGAAUUACUGGGCGUAAAGCGUGCGCAGGCGGUUCGGAAAGAAAGAUGUGAAAUCCCAGAGCUUAACUUUGGAACUGCAUUUUUAACUACCGGGCUAGAGUGUGUCAGAGGGAGGUGGAAUUCCGCGUGUAGCAGUGAAAUGCGUGGAUAUGCGGAGGAACACCGAUGGCGAAGGCAGCCUCCUGGGAUAACACUGACGCUCAUGCACGAAAGCGUGGGGAGCAAACAGGAUUAGAUACCCUGGUAGUCCACGCCCUAAACGAUGUCAACUAGCUGUUGGGGCCUUCGGGCCUUGGUAGCGCAGCUAACGCGUGAAGUUGACCGCCUGGGGAGUACGGUCGCAAGAUUAAAACUCAAA